This 426-nucleotide ribosomal RNA is filed under the name uncultured archaeon. Its description in RNAcentral is "bacterial SSU rRNA". It matches the Rfam family "Archaeal small subunit ribosomal RNA", at positions 437 to 864 of the family's 1478-position model. The record is from RNAcentral.
AGGGGGGGGUAAGGACGGUGCCAGCCGCCGCGGUAAUACCGGCGCCUCAAGUGGUAGUCGCUUUUAUUGGGCCUAAAACGUCCGUAGCCGGUCUGGUACAUUCGUGGGUAAAUCAACCCGCUCAACGGGUUGAAUUCUGCGAGCACGGCCAGACUUGGGACCGGGAGAGGUGUGGGGUACUCUCAGGGUAGGGGUAAAAUCCUGUCAUCCUGAGAGGACCACCUGUUGCGAAGGCGCCACACUAAAACGGAUCCGACGGUCAGGGACAAAACCUAGGGGCACGAACCGGAUUAAAUACCCGGGUAGUCCUAGGUGUAAACGCUGUGGACUUGAUGUUGGGGGCGCUCCGAGCGCUCUCAGUGUCGAAGCGAAGGUGAUAAGUCCACUGCCUGGGGAGUACGGUCGCAAGGCUGAAACUUAAAGGAA